RNAcentral lists this ribosomal RNA (255 nucleotides) under uncultured bacterium. Its description in RNAcentral is "partial 16S ribosomal RNA". It matches the Rfam family "Bacterial small subunit ribosomal RNA", at positions 524 to 776 of the family's 1533-position model. The record is from RNAcentral.
UACGUAGGGUGCAAGCGUUAUCCGGAAUUAUUGGGCGUAAAGAGCUCGUAGGCGGUUUGUCGCGUCUGCUGUGAAAAACUGGAGGCUCAACCUCCAGCCUGCAGUGGGUACGGGCAGACUAGAGUGCGGUAGGGGGAGAUUGGAAUUCCUGGUGUAGCGGUGGAAUGCGCAGAUAUCAGGAGGAACACCAAUGGCGAAGGCAGAUCUCUGGGCCGUAACUGACGCUGAGGAGCGAAAGCAUGGGGAGCGAACAGG